GAGUAACACGUGGGUGAUCUGCCCUGUACUUCGGGAUAAGCCUGGGAAACUGGGUCUAAUACCGGAUAUGACCUUACAUCGCAUGGUGUUUGGUGGAAAGAUUUAUCGGUACAGGAUGGGCCCGCGGCCUAUCAUCUUGUUGGUGGGGUAAUGGCCUACCAAGGCGACGACGGGUAGCCGGCCUGAGAGGGCGACCGGCCACACUGGGACUGAGACACGGCCCAGACUCCUACGGGAGGCAGCAGUGGGGAAUAUUGCACAAUGGGCGAAAGCCUGAUGCAGCGACGCCGCGUGAGGGAUGACGGCCUUCGGGUUGUAAACCUCUUUCGACAGGGACGAAGCGCAAGUGACGGUACCUGUAGAAAAAGCACCGGCCAACUACGUGC
This 386-nucleotide ribosomal RNA is filed under the name Nocardia farcinica. Its description in RNAcentral is "bacterial SSU rRNA". It matches the Rfam family "Bacterial small subunit ribosomal RNA", at positions 108 to 508 of the family's 1533-position model. The record is from RNAcentral. Lineage: Bacteria; Bacillati; Actinomycetota; Actinomycetes; Mycobacteriales; Nocardiaceae.